AAUAUGCUCUCCCCGCUCGACCCUGCCGGCCGCCACGUGGGGCGCUGCGGAGACCGGUCGGCCCACAGCGCUGGGGCGCCUAGUCGGGGCGCCGGGCGACCGGACGCGUCGUCGCCGCUACCGGGGCCUCGGACUCCUUCGGCCUCGUCGGCUGUCGCUUUUCUGUCGUACGCCCUGCGCUUUCACGCUUCGCUGUCAAUCCGAGCGCACUCCCAGCACCCCGCGCACACGGGUGCACGCACGCUCAGCGUGUUUUGCACGGUGUGUACACACUUGACGUGCUCCUGCUGAAGGCCCCGACGCUGCCCGUCAAAGCUGCGGCCCAGGCGACCUCAGCCACGAGCUUCCCCUCCUCUCCGCUGGUCAUCCCUCCUCGCGCACGGAAGUGCGUCGGGGGAAGAAAAGCGCCUCCUUUCGGUAGGCAAACCGCCCGGCAGUUCACCAGAAAGAAAAACUUUCACCACCACCCUGGGAGGGCUGAAUAAUAUUCUGUUGUCCGGAUGUACCAAAGUUUAUUUAUCCAUCCACCUACUGAAGGACAUCUGGGAUGCUUCCAAGUUUUGGCAAUAAAAAUAAGCUUCUGGCUUCCCUGGUGGCGCAGUGGUUGAGAAUCUGCCUGCCAAUGCAGGGGACACGGGUUCGAGCCCUGGUCUGGGAAGAUCCCACAUGCCGCGGAGCAACUAGGCCCGUGAGCCACAACUACUGAGCCUGCGCGUUUGGAGCCUGUGCUCCGCAACAAGAGAGGCCGCGAUAGUGAGAGGCCCGCGCACAGCGAUGAAGAGUGGCCCCCGCUUGCCACAACUAGAGAAAGCCCUCGCACAGAAAUGAAGACCCAACGCAACCAAAAAUAAAAUAAUAAAUAAAUUAAUUAAUUAAUUAAAAAAAAUACAAUUUAAAAAAAAAAUAAUAAGCUUCUGUAAACAUCGAGGUGCAAAUUUUUACAUGGACAUAAGUUUUCAACUCAUUUGGAUGAAUACUAAGCACCAUAAUUUCUGGAUUGUAUGGAGUGAAGAAAGCUCUGGAGGGAACGUGGAACAGUGAAAGAAGAGAAAAGCUUUACCUUGAUAGAAUCAGGACCACCAACGGACCUUUUCUGUCUCUAGCUUGGAACCUGGGAUCAGAAAGGAACAUUCACCUUCUGCACUUCGUCUUUUCUCCUUCACGUGUUCUUGAGCUGCACAGAUAACCUGCCUUACCACUUCAAGAGAAGCCAGCUGAAUGGAAGGUGAUUCUCGGGUCAAAAUUACUCGAUGUAGUACAUUCAACAACUCGAUACCCAAGUCCUAUCACAGAAAACAGGAAGCUGGGAGGCAAAUUCUGAAGGCAAAGUUAGGAGAGCAAAAUCCUGAAGCGCAGCAAGCCAGAGCCUACUUAAUGUGCCAAGAUCUGCGUGGACUAAGUCAAGCAGCCCGUCUGAUGAAAUCGACCCAUUUCCAACACUUUCUUCUGAACAGGUCGUCUUCAAAGAUGUGAUGGAGCCUGCUGACCAACUGGGGAACUGGUCUGGAUUCCCUAACUGCCAGCCAUCAGAAGCUGCCUUUGAAUCAUGAGAGGCUGCUCAAUGCACCAGUCAAAAAAACACCAGUUAAAAAGCUUACAGAACCAGUAAUAGAAACCUGAAUUCUUUUCCAAGUCUAGGGGAAAAAAAGGAGGUUAUAUCUAGACUAGGAGUAAUAAUUUGAAGAUGAAACCGGCAUGUAGCCUAAAUGGAAUGUUUAUUAAUGAUUUGGUGUUAUCUUAGCUUAUUUGGAUAUUUUGUAAAGAAUUUCAUUAUCAAAGACCUUUGGACUUCUCUGGUGGCGCAGUGGUUAAGAAUCCGCCUGCCAAUGCAGGGGACACGGGUUCGAGCCCUGGUCCAGGAAGAUCCCACAUGCCGCGGAGCAACUAAGCCUGUGCCCCACAGCUACUGAGCCUGCACUCUAGAGCCCACGUGCCACAACUACUGAAGCCCGUGUGCCUAGAGCCCGUGCUCCGCAACAAGAGAAGCCACCGCAAUGAGAAGCCUGUGCACUGCAACAAAGAGUAGCCCCCGCUCGCAACAACUAGAGAAAGCCCGCGCACAGCAAUGAAGACCCAACGCAGCCAAAAAUAAAUAAAUUUUUUUUAAAAAAGAACAAUACCUAUCCCACAGGGUUAUUGUUAAAGAUUAACUUAGCAAAUGAAUAUUAAAAAAGAAAAGCCCUUUAUUCCCCCAAAAUUACCAAAAAGGUUUUAAUUAUGAAAAUUAACCUUUAGCAUUAUAAAAGACCUGUUUUAUGUAUUAUUUUGCUUUUACAUGACGAUUUCUUCUUUAAACAUAUACUGAUUAUACUGGUGAUAUAUUAGCAGAGAUACAUACUCAUUUACGUAUUAAAAGGUGACAUGCCAAUUAGUUUCACUUUUAAUAAUAAUAAAGUUCUCUAG
Molecule: long non-coding RNA, 2403 nt
Organism: Balaenoptera acutorostrata (minke whale)
Lineage: Eukaryota; Metazoa; Chordata; Mammalia; Artiodactyla; Balaenopteridae
Exons: 7
Source: RefSeq, a predicted model, not a curated record